Molecule: long non-coding RNA, 384 nt
Organism: Lingula anatina
Lineage: Eukaryota; Metazoa; Brachiopoda; Lingulata; Lingulida; Lingulidae
Source: RefSeq, a predicted model, not a curated record
GGGACUUCUACUGGCUGGGAGCUCACACAGGAACAGAUGCAAGAACUGAACAGGAUAUCCAUGCCUGUAAUUCCAUACCCGUACAAAAUGAUACGCCUGUUAAACAAGACUAGGAGAGAUAUGUCCAUUUAAAGUGAAAUUUAAUAGGCAAUCUUUUACAGUACCGUUAGAUAAUCAAACUUAAAACGGGACCGAAGUUGAUGUCAAACCAUUAUUAAACAGAAAUACAGACUUACAUCAAAUACAUUGGACUACUUUUUGUAUGUCAUGUUUGAUCCGUUGCGUUAUCUCGAGAUUGACUUGGAAUAUUAGGCAUUAUAAUUCGUAUUGGAAUUUAUUUUGGAAACUAAUAUGAAUAAAGACAAUAGAUUAACGGAUAUAACA